GACAAGGCGCUAUAUAUAGCCUAGUGGACAUGGCACCUGCCCGGUAAGCAGAAGGUUGUGGGUUCGAUUCCCGCCCCUGGACA
This 83-nucleotide transfer RNA is filed under the name Cordylochernes scorpioides. Its description in RNAcentral is "tRNA-Thr". The stretch from base 17 to 74 matches the Rfam family "tRNA", at positions 8 to 63 of the family's 71-position model. Rfam says of the family: Transfer RNA (tRNA) molecules are approximately 80 nucleotides in length. Their secondary structure includes four short double-helical elements and three loops (D, anti-codon, and T loops). The record is from RNAcentral. Lineage: Eukaryota; Metazoa; Arthropoda; Arachnida; Pseudoscorpiones; Chernetidae.